This 450-nucleotide ribosomal RNA is filed under the name uncultured bacterium. Its description in RNAcentral is "SSU rRNA". It matches the Rfam family "Bacterial small subunit ribosomal RNA", at positions 26 to 518 of the family's 1533-position model. The record is from RNAcentral.
AGAGCGAACGCUGGCGGCAGGCUUAACACAUGCAAGUCGAGCGGGCGUAGCAAUACGUCAGCGGCAGACGGGUGAGUAACGCGUGGGAACGUACCUUUUGGUUCGGAACAACCCAGGGAAACUUGGGCUAAUACCGGAUAAGCCCUUACGGGGAAAGAUUUAUCGCCGAAAGAUCGGCCCGCGUCUGAUUAGCUAGUUGGUGAGGUAAUGGCUCACCAAGGCGACGAUCAGUAGCUGGUCUGAGAGGAUGAUCAGCCACAUUGGGACUGAGACACGGCCCAAACUCCUACGGGAGGCAGCAGUGGGGAAUAUUGGACAAUGGGCGCAAGCCUGAUCCAGCCAUGCCGCGUGAGUGAUGAAGGCCCUAGGGUUGUAAAGCUCUUUUGUGCGGGAAGAUAAUGGACGGUACCGCAAGAAUAAGCCCCGGACUAACUUCGCGCCAGCAGCCGC